CAAUAGCGUAUAUUAAAAUUGUUGCGGUUAAAACGCUCGUAGUUGGAUAUCUGUGAGCGGGUUCCGGUCCUUCCCAGUGAAGAUUACACGGAACUCUGCUCGCAUUUGUUCAGGGAGGGUGGAUGCACUUCACUGUGUGACCACAUGAUCUGAAUUUUUUACUUUGAGGAAAUAGAGAGUGUUCCAAGCAGGCAAUUGCCGUGAAUAUGAUAGCAUGGAAUAAUAGCACAGGACUCUUGGUUCAAUGCUGUUGGUUUGUUGAACUAGAGUAAUCACAAUAAGGAUAUUGGGGGUAGUUCGUAUUUAACUGUCAGAGGUGAAAUUACUUGGAUUUUUAAAGUACGAACAAUU
RNAcentral lists this ribosomal RNA (351 nucleotides) under uncultured eukaryote. RNAcentral describes it as "bacterial SSU rRNA". It matches the Rfam family "Eukaryotic small subunit ribosomal RNA", at positions 592 to 944 of the family's 1831-position model. The record is from RNAcentral.